This is a non-coding RNA of Cicer arietinum (chickpea), 78 nucleotides long. The record is from Rfam. NCBI's taxonomy places the organism in Eukaryota, Viridiplantae, Streptophyta, Magnoliopsida, Fabales, Fabaceae.
AAUCAUGUGAUGAGAAAAUAACUGCAACAAUAUGAUGGAUUCGUUCUAUGAUUCCUAGUAUUUAAGUCUCUGAUGAUU